GAUGUCCGAAUGGGGAAACCCAGUGCAAUUCGUUGCACUAUCGUUAACUGAAUACAUAGGUUAACGAGGCGAACCGGGGGAACUGAAACAUCUAAGUACCCCGAGGAAAAGAAAUCAACCGAGAUUCCCCCAGUAGCGGCGAGCGAACGGGGAGCAGCCCAGAGUCUGAAUCAGCUUGUGUGUUAGUGGAACGGUCUGGAAAGUCCGACGGUACAGGGUGAUAGUCCCGUACACCAAAAUGCACAGGCUGUGAACUCGAAGAGUAGGGCGGGACACGUGGUAUCCUGUCUGAAUAUGGGGGGACCAUCCUCCAAGGCUAAAUACUCCUGACUGACCGAUAGUGAACCAGUACCGUGAGGGAAAGGCGAAAAGAACCCCGGCGAGGGGAGUGAAAAAGAACCUGAAACCGUGUACGUACAAGCAGUGGGAGCACCUUCGGGUGUGACUGCGUACCUUUUGUAUAAUGGGUCAGCGACUUAUAUUCUGUAGCAAGGUUAACCGUAUAGGGGAGCCGCAGGGAAACCGAGUCUUAACUGGGCGUUAAGUUGCAGGGUAUAGACCCGAAACCCGGUGAUCUAGCCAUGGGCAGGUUGAAGGUUGGGUAACACUAACUGGAGGACCGAACCGACUAAUGUUGAAAAAUUAGCGGAUGACUUGUGGCUGGGGGUGAAAGGCCAAUCAAACCGGGAGAUAGCUGGUUCUCCCCGAAAGCUAUUUAGGUAGCGCCUCGUGAAUUCAUCUUCGGGGGUAGAGCACUGUUUCGGCUAGGGGGUCAUCCCGACUUACCAACCCGAUGCAAACUACGAAUACCGAAGAAUGUUAUCACGGGAGACACACGGCGGGUGCUAACGUCCGUCGUGAAGAGGGAAACAACCCAGACCGCCAGCUAAGGUCCCAAAGUCAUGGUUAAGUGGGAAACGAUGUGGGAAGGCACAGACAGCCAGGAUGUUGGCUUAGAAGCAGCCAUCAUUUAAAGAAAGCGUAAUAGCUCACUGGUCGAGUCGGCCUGCGCGGAAGAUGUAACGGGGCUAAACCAUGCACCGAAGCUGCGGCAGCGACACUAUGUGUUGUUGGGUAGGGGAGCGUUCUGUAAGCCUGCGAAGGUGACCUGUGAGGGUUGCUGGAGGUAUCAGAAGUGCGAAUGCUGACAUAAGUAACGAUAAAGCGGGUGAAAAGCCCGCUCGCCGGAAGACCAAGGGUUCCUGUCCAACGUUAAUCGGGGCAGGGUGAGUCGACCCCUAAGGCGAGGCCGAAAGGCGUAGUCGAUGGGAAACAGGUUAAUAUUCCUGUACUUGGUGUUACUGCGAAGGGGGGACGGAGAAGGCUAUGUUAGCCGGGCGACGGUUGUCCCGGUUUAAGCAUGUAGGCUGGUUGUCCAGGCAAAUCCGGAUAAUCAAGGCUGAGGUGUGAUGACGAGGCACUACGGUGCUGAAGUAACAAAUGCCCUGCUUCCAGGAAAAGCCUCUAAGCAUCAGGUAACAUCAAAUCGUACCCCAAACCGACACAGGUGGUCAGGUAGAGAAUACCAAGGCGCUUGAGAGAACUCGGGUGAAGGAACUAGGCAAAAUGGUGCCGUAACUUCGGGAGAAGGCACGCUGGUGUGUAGGUGAAGUCCCUGCGGAUGGAGCUGAGACCAGUCGAAGAUACCAGCUGGCUGCAACUGUUUAUUAAAAACACAGCACUGUGCAAACACGAAAGUGGACGUAUACGGUGUGACGCCUGCCCGGUGCCGGAAGGUUAAUUGAUGGGGUUAUCCGUAAGGAGAAGCUCUUGAUCGAAGCCCCGGUAAACGGCGGCCGUAACUAUAACGGUCCUAAGGUAGCGAAAUUCCUUGUCGGGUAAGUUCCGACCUGCACGAAUGGCGUAAUGAUGGCCAGGCUGUCUCCACCCGAGACUCAGUGAAAUUGAACUCGCUGUGAAGAUGCAGUGUACCCGCGGCAAGACGGAAAGACCCCGUGAACCUUUACUAUAGCUUGACACUGAACAUUGAGCCUUGAUGUGUAGGAUAGGUGGGAGGCUUUGAAGCGUGGACGCCAGUCUGCGUGGAGCCAACCUUGAAAUACCACCCUUUAAUGUUUGAUGUUCUAACGUUGGCCCCUGACCGGGGUUGCGGACAGUGUCUGGUGGGUAGUUUGACUGGGGCGGUCUCCUCCCAAAGCGUAACGGAGGAGCACGAAGGUUAGCUAAUCCUGGUCGGACAUCAGGAGGUUAGUGCAAUGGCAUAAGCUAGCUUGACUGCGAGCGUGACGGCGCGAGCAGGUGCGAAAGCAGGUCAUAGUGAUCCGGUGGUUCUGAAUGGAAGGGCCAUCGCUCAACGGAUAAAAGGUACUCCGGGGAUAACAGGCUGAUACCGCCCAAGAGUUCAUAUCGACGGCGGUGUUUGGCACCUCGAUGUCGGCUCAUCACAUCCUGGGGCUGAAGUAGGUCCCAAGGGUAUGGCUGUUCGCCAUUUAAAGUGGUACGCGAGCUGGGUUUAGAACGUCGUGAGACAGUUCGGUCCCUAUCUGCCGUGGGCGCUGGAGAAUUGAGGGGGGCUGCUCCUAGUACGAGAGGACCGGAGUGGACGCAUCACUGGUGUUCGGGUUGUCAUGCCAAUGGCACUGCCCGGUAGCUAAAUGCGGAAGAGAUAAGUGCUGAAAGCAUCUAAGCACGAAACUUGCCCCGAGAUGAGUUCUCCCUGAGACUUUAAGUCUCCUGAAGGAACGUUGAAGACGACGACGUUGAUAGGCCGGGUGUGUAAGCGCAGCGAUGCGUUGAGCUAACCGGUACUAAUGAACCGUGAGGCUUAACCUUACAACGCCGAAG
This 2805-nucleotide ribosomal RNA is filed under the name Klebsiella pneumoniae. Its description in RNAcentral is "bacterial LSU rRNA". It matches the Rfam family "Bacterial large subunit ribosomal RNA". The record is from RNAcentral. Lineage: Bacteria; Pseudomonadati; Pseudomonadota; Gammaproteobacteria; Enterobacterales; Enterobacteriaceae.